RNAcentral lists this ribosomal RNA (468 nucleotides) under uncultured bacterium. RNAcentral's name for it is "partial 16S ribosomal RNA". It matches the Rfam family "Bacterial small subunit ribosomal RNA", at positions 28 to 507 of the family's 1533-position model. The record is from RNAcentral.
GACGAACGCUGGCGGCGUGCUUAACACAUGCAAGUCGAACGGAAAGGCCCUGCUUUUGUGGGGUGCGCGAGUGGCGAACGGGUGAGUAACACUUGAGUAAGCUGCCCUUGACUUUGGGGUAACUUCAGGAAACUGGGUCUAAUAGCGGAUAGGAGCUCCUGCUGCAUGGUGGGGGUUGGAAAGUUUCGGCGGUUGGGGAUGGACUCGCGGAUUAUCAGCUUGUUGGUGGGGUAGUGGAUUACCAAGGCUUUGACGGGUAGCCGGCCUGAGAGGGUGACCGGCCACAUUGGGACUGAGAUACGGCACAGCCUCGUACGGGAGGCAGCAGUGGGGAAUAUUGUACAAUGGGCGGAAGCAUGACGCAGCAACGCCGCGUGCGGGAUGACGGCCUUCGGGUUGUAAACCGAUUUUGCCUGUGACGAAGCGUGAGUGACGGUAAUGGGUAAAGAAGCACCGGCUAACUACGUG